AAAUCAUUGCAUUCCAAGAAAUUACAUUCUUCACUGGCAUCUGGUCAAAAUUUUGACGAGCCAAUUCGACAAGCCCAUGUUUAGCAUAUGCGCUAACCAUUGAAGUCCAAGACACCACAUUUUUAUCAGGCAUCCGCUCAAAAACUCUUUCAGCUGAUUGCAAAUGCCCACACUUAGAAUACAUAUCUAGAAGAGCGUUUCUCACAAUUAAAUCUAUCUCCAUCCCCGUUUUCUCAAUAUACAAAUGCACAAACUUGCCAAGAACUAUAUCACAGCUCUGUGAACAGAUCGAAAGCAAGUUAACCAAAGUAAAUUCAUCAGGCUCCACCCCCACUCCUCUCAUCUCUUUAAGCAAUAAAAACGAUUCUUUACACCAACCCACUUUGGCGUACCCACCAAUCAUCGAAUUCCAAGAAACCAAAGUCCUAUCAGAUAUAUCAUCAAACAUUUCGCGGGCAUACUGGAUAAACCCACAGGCAAAGUACGCAUUUAUCAGGCCGUUUUGCACACAAAUAUGAGACCCAAUACCCAGUUUUUGAGCGUGGCCGUGGACAAGUACGGAUACCCAAUAAUCCGAUUUGGAAGCACAUGCUUUAAGUACAAAAGGGAGAGUGAAUUCAUUUGGAGAAAGGCCAGAAUCAAUCAUUUGGCGAUACAAUAAUAUGGACUUUAUGGGAUCAUUACUACUAGAGUAACCCCUUAUUAGACUAUUGUACAUGAAUUUAUUGGGCUCAGGAAUUUGGUUAAAUAAAAGUUGGCCGUAGUCCAGAUUGCCAGCAUCAGCAACAGCGCAGAAAGAGAUUAACUUGCCGAGAGUGAGAGUCUCAUUGUUGAGGCCAUUAAGGAUGAUUUGGGCAUGGAUUGGCUUUAGUUCUUUCAUGGAGGAGCAUUUGAGUAGCAUUGAAUGAAGAGUUUGGUGAGUUUGAGACUUGAAUUGAUGGAAUGAGCUGACGGUGUGGUUAAGGCGGGAACCAAGGGUAAAAUAUUUGAAAGGGAAGAACAUGGCAGUUGGGCAUUGGUUACGAAAACAAACCGCCAAUCUAUGUUGGGAACCUUUUUAUUGAGAAAUUAUAAAAUCUAUUUAGAUUAGAUUGUAGAGAAAGGUUUGCAUUUAGC
Molecule: unclassified non-coding RNA, 1116 nt
Filed under: Hevea brasiliensis (rubber tree)
Lineage: Eukaryota; Viridiplantae; Streptophyta; Magnoliopsida; Malpighiales; Euphorbiaceae
Source: RNAcentral